Molecule: long non-coding RNA, 299 nt
Filed under: Crocodylus porosus (Australian saltwater crocodile)
Lineage: Eukaryota; Metazoa; Chordata; Crocodylia; Crocodylidae
Description: lncRNA (ENSCPRG00005011448.1)
Source: RNAcentral
GUGCCUUCUUAUUUUUUUAAAUCGGUUUCAAAACAUCCUUCUAAGUUAUUGCUAAGAUGAAAUUUGAUUCACAGAUCCCAGGAUAACCGCAACUGUAAUAUCUACCUUCCUUUGAAGAAGAUGAAACAGUAACUCUGAAAAGUAUGAUGUGCCCCACUCAUCUCAGUGGGUGCUUCAGUGACAAUAACAACAUUCAAAACAUUAUUUUUUUCCACUGGUCCUCAGAACACAAAGGGAAAAAAAGAUCUCUACAAUUUCUUGCAAGUGACUUCCCAUUCUGGCACCAUGACUGGAACUAA